CAAGUCAGAUGCACCAGACACUCUCUUAUUGGAGAAACAUGCAGAUUAUAUCGCAUCCUAUGGCUCAAAAAAAGAUGAUUAUGAAUACUGUAUGUCUGAGUAUUUGAGAAUGAGUGGCAUCUAUUGGGGUCUAACAGUAAUGGAUCUCAUGGGACAACUUCAUCGCAUGAAUAGAGAAGAGAUUCUGGCAUUUAUUAAGUCUUGCCAACAUGAAUGUGGUGGAAUAAGUGCUAGUAUCGGACAUGAUCCUCAUCUUUUAUACACUCUUAGUGCUGUCCAGGUCCCACUAAGCAGCUGGUCUAACUGGAGUUAAUGGUCUGCUGGAACUUCCAGCAUGCACUGUGGUAGUUAUAUCAGCAUACAGGAGCACUGGAACAGAGGGGGCCAGUCUAAAAGAUAAGGGAUGAACACAGUGCAGGCCAGAGAGACCAGCUGCUUCAUGGGAUGUGAAAAUUCUACUUUUAUAAAGUAGGGAGAAAUUGACACAAGAUUCUCUUUUUGUGCGGUGGCAACUUUGGCUUUGUUGGGGAAGCUUGAUGCUAUUAAUGUGGAAAAGGCAAUCGAAUUUGUUUUAUCCUGUAUGA
RNAcentral lists this small RNA (584 nucleotides) under Pongo abelii (Sumatran orangutan). RNAcentral describes it as "processed transcript". The record is from RNAcentral. Lineage: Eukaryota; Metazoa; Chordata; Mammalia; Primates; Hominidae.